UACGAAGGGGGCGAGCGUUGUUCGGAUUUACUGGGCGUAAAGAGCUCGUAGGCGGUUUGUCGCGUUGUUCGUGAAAUUCCCUGGCUUAACUGGGGGCGUGCGGGCGAUACGGGCAGACUGGAGUACUGCAGGGGAGACUGGAAUUCCUGGUGUAGCGGUGGAAUGCGCAGAUAUCAGGAGGAACACCGGUGGCGAAGGCGGGUCUCUGGGCAGUAACUGACGCUGAGGAGCGAAAGCGUGGGGAGCGAACAGG
This 253-nucleotide ribosomal RNA is filed under the name uncultured bacterium. Its description in RNAcentral is "partial 16S ribosomal RNA". It matches the Rfam family "Bacterial small subunit ribosomal RNA", at positions 524 to 776 of the family's 1533-position model. The record is from RNAcentral.